This is a long non-coding RNA of Balaenoptera musculus (blue whale), 1559 nucleotides long. RefSeq lists it as uncharacterized. The record is from RefSeq and is a predicted model, not a curated record. Lineage: Eukaryota; Metazoa; Chordata; Mammalia; Artiodactyla; Balaenopteridae. The transcript has 2 exons.
GCGGUGCCGUCCCGGGCUCAGAGAAGCGCCCCCCUCCGCCAGUGCCUAGCAGGACCUCAGCCUCUCGCGCCCGGCCCCCAACCCCAGGAAUUUAACCCCUACCCCGCCGACGGCCGCGUCAGAGCGCCGCAUUCCCAGCCCGCAAGGACCCAGAGAAGGGGUCGGGGAGACCCAGAGAGGGGUCACCUCAGCUGGAUGACAACAGAGCCUGGAAGAAACAUGGAGUUGGCAGGGGAAGGAAGACCAAACACCAUCAAUGGUUCUCUGCGUAGGUGAACGUUUCUGCCUGAAGUUCUCUCUAGCUCCACCUCGUGCCCUACCACUAAUACUCGGCCAGAAGACGAAAACAAGCCACAGACAGAUGAGAUGAAGUCUCUUCACUGGCUGGGUCAGCAAGGAGACUCAACGUCUCCUUUUCCAUUUCAGAAAGACUAUUUGAAGUCUGGAUGAAUAAAGAAGGAUGAAACAUGCACAGACUCAAACUUAGACUAAGUAUAUAUUUUAAUUUCUACAAGGCCCCCCUUUCCAGUUUUAGGGAAAUUUAAAUGAAGUGUAUACAAAUCAGACAUUACCAAUAUGUACAAAAGUAUUUUCUACAGUUUUUGAACAAUACCAGCUAUAUCAUAUUUCAUUUGCAGUAAACAGGACAUUACAAAAAGAGUCCAAUAAUGCAUUGUCUAUUAAGAAGCACAAUACACAUAAUUCAAUUUUAUUAAAAAAUAAUUUAAAAUACAGAACAAUCCCCUUUAUGAAGAAAAGCUAUUUCUGUAGUCCAUUCAGUAAACACACAAGUUGAAUGCUGCAGCUGAGGGCUGUUCUUUUCCAUGGAGAAAACAAACGAGGCUUCUAGGGCCCACCUUUUCAGGGUAAAAUUCUACCCACAGCACAACAGGCGAAGUUAUUGCCUGUGGGAGGCAGAAUUCUAAAAUGUCCCUCCCCCUAUUUCAUGUCCCAAUCCCAGGAACCUGUAAAUGUGAUACCACUUCUGUGACUAUGUUCUGUGGCACAGCUGACCUUAAUAUAGGGAGACUAUCUCAGUGGGCUUGAUCAAAUCACACGAACCUUAAAACAGAGGAGGAAGGCAGAGAGACCUGAAGCAUGAGAAGAAGGCCUCGAUGGGCCAUUGCUGGUUUGAAGACGGAGGGAAGCACACAAGAAGGAAUGUGAGCAGCCUUAAGGAGCCGAGAAAGAGGACCCCGGCUGACAGCCAGCAAGGAACUGAAUACUGCUAACAACCUGAAUGAACUUGGAAGCAGAUUCUUUCCCAGAGCCUCCAUAAAGGAAUGCUGCCCUGCUGACCCUUGAUUUCAGCCUUGUGAGACCCUGAGCAGAGAAUCCAGCCAUACUGUGCUGGACUCAGGAGCUACAGAACUGUAAGCUAAGAAACGAGUGCUGCUUUAAGCUGCAAAGUUUGGGGUCAUUUGUUACACAGCAGUAGAAAACGAAUACACUGACCAAAGGUAACUCUUCUUAACGUAAUUAGAUUUGGCAGUUUUUGUUUGGGUUCUAAAUGCAGUUUCUUUCCACUGCGUAUUAUUAAAGCAAUAUUCUCCUCUGCA